GGGUGAGUAACACGUGGGUAACCUGCCCAUCAGAAGGGGAUAACACUUGGAAACAGGUGCUAAUACCGUAUAACAAUCGAAACCGCAUGGUUUUGAUUUGAAAGGCGCUUUCGGGUGUCGCUGAUGGAUGGACCCGCGGUGCAUUAGCUAGUUGGUGAGGUAACGGCUCACCAAGGCCACGAUGCAUAGCCGACCUGAGAGGGUGAUCGGCCACAUUGGGACUGAGACACGGCCCAAACUCCUACGGGAGGCAGCAGUAGGGAAUCUUCGGCAAUGGACGAAAGUCUGACCGAGCAACGCCGCGUGAGUGAAGAAGGUUUUCGGAUCGUAAAACUCUGUUGUUAGAGAAGAACAAGGAUGAGAGUAACUGUUCAUCCCUUGACGGUAUCUAACCAGAAAGCCACGGCUAACUACGUGCCAGCAGCCGCGGUAAUACGUAGGUGGCAAGCGUUGUCCGGAUUUAUUGGGCGUAAAGCGAGCGCAGGCGGUUUCUUAAGUCUGAUGUGAAAGCCCCCGGCUCAACCGGGGAGGGUCAUUGGAAACUGGGAGACUUGAGUGCAGAAGAGGAGAGUGGAAUUCCAUGUGUAGCGGUGAAAUGCGUAGAUAUAUGGAGGAACACCAGUGGCGAAGGCGGCUCUCUGGUCUGUAACUGACGCUGAGGCUCGAAAGCGUGGGGAGCAAACAGGAUUAGAUACCCUGGUAGUCCACGCCGUAAACGAUGAGUGCUAAGUGUUGGAGGGUUUCCGCCCUUCAGUGCUGCAGCUAACGCAUUAAGCACUCCGCCUGGGGAGUACGACCGCAAGGUUGAAACUCAAAGGAAUUGACGGGGGCCCGCACAAGCGGUGGAGCAUGUGGUUUAAUUC
This 863-nucleotide ribosomal RNA is filed under the name Enterococcus faecium. Its description in RNAcentral is "bacterial SSU rRNA". It matches the Rfam family "Bacterial small subunit ribosomal RNA", at positions 104 to 952 of the family's 1533-position model. The record is from RNAcentral. Lineage: Bacteria; Bacillati; Bacillota; Bacilli; Lactobacillales; Enterococcaceae.